Molecule: long non-coding RNA, 1563 nt
Organism: Mustela erminea (ermine)
Lineage: Eukaryota; Metazoa; Chordata; Mammalia; Carnivora; Mustelidae
Exons: 5
Source: RefSeq, a predicted model, not a curated record
GUAGAGGGUCCCUGCAUCCUGAGGGGACGGCCCUCCACUUCACAGAGAAGGGCUUCCCAGCUCAGAGGGGCGUCAGCUGUGGAGCACAGUGGCAGACACGUGUGGUCGGUGUUCGGAGGAGGGAGGCCUGUGUACCGGGGGGCCGGGUUUUGUGCCAGGCUCGCCCACGCCGUGUCUUCGGCGCUGCCCCCGCUUUCUAGGAGAACCAGCCUUGGAGCAGCGAGGGCAGAAGCGUGUUCCUCGGGGCAGCUCCAGCACCUUCUAUGCGCCAUCGGUAGGUGGAAAGGCCGGGGACCUGGAGCUGAGAAGCCAGAGAACCGGUCUGCUUGUGGGAACCACACAUGGCUUGUGCCCUCGAUUCCCAAGCACUGUUGCAAGAGUAAAGGAGUUCUCGGACUCAGGGAUCAGAACCUGAUUCCUAUAGAGCUGCAAGAAUGAGUCAGACUACACAAACCCCAUCAGCAAUCUGUGUGGCUGGUCCCCGGCUGAGGUUCCCUGCAGCAGCACCACCACUUGGCCCCACGACCAGAGGUGAAGCAGGAGAGCCCCUGGUGGGCACUCCCCAGGCACAAGGACAGUCCCCAUCCCAGGAGCAGCUGGGUCCUUGAGGCCAGAGGCAUCGCCCCCUUCCCCCACUCAGAGGCCACCAGGGUCCGGAGAGCCACGGGCAUGCAGGCCACGCUGAAAACGGAGAAGGGCCCCAGGGUGGCCGCUGACAGGUGAGCGACGAGGCACUUGUAUACCCUGUACAGAAAUCCGAAGUCUUCAUUUCAAGAAUGGGGGGCGGCGGGGAGAGACUUCUGGACAAUCUGCGGGCACAGGGGCUUCCCCAGGUCACACGGCACUGCCUGUCUGUCCGGGGCAGGAGGCCGUGUAGAUCUGGGUUCCUGGGCCUGGUGCGGAGCCAGGGAGGCACCGGGCAGACGUCCCUCGGGGUCUUCUCCGUCAGGCUAGGCUGCCCCUCCACUUCUCUAAGCAACCAACUGGCUGAUUCUCCUGUCGGUGUUCACUCACUCACCGCCGCCCUGACCAAGGGACCACACGUCCAGGGGCUCCUCCUGGACCUCCGCAUCCUCGGGUGGAAGCUGUUCCGUCACAGGGUCACUCUGUCCGAUUCUUCGGUCAACACUCUUCAGCAUCUUCUGUGUUGCUGCGUCUGAGGCUCAAGAGGGUCCCAAGGGAUGGUUCUCUGGUUCGGCCCGACCACACCUUCACCCGACUGCCCUGUGCUCCCCGGGGAGCGGACGUCUGUUCUCUGGCCGCGGCUGCCCCGGCUUCUCAGGACACCUGCCGGCGGAUAGGGAGAGAAGCAGCAGCCCGACACCCUGGGGCCAAGGACACAGAAAGGUAAGACCCUCGUGUGGGAAGCGCGGUGUCCGUGAACGUGGAACAGCGGGAGCCGUUAGGAAGGAGCAUCUGCAUGUCUGUGUGGAACACGGUCCAGUCUGUGUGGAACACGGUCCAGUGCCCCGGGGAAGAAGAUGCUGUUUUCUCCAUUUUACAAAAGAGUAAACUGAGGCACAGGGUAGGUAACAGGUUCAAGGUCAAGUUACAAAGCCAGGA